This 465-nucleotide ribosomal RNA is filed under the name uncultured bacterium. RNAcentral describes it as "bacterial SSU rRNA". It matches the Rfam family "Bacterial small subunit ribosomal RNA", at positions 30 to 492 of the family's 1533-position model. The record is from RNAcentral.
AUUGAACGCUGGCGGCAUGCCUUACACAUGCAAGUCGAACGGCAGCACGGGAGCAAUCCUGGUGGCGAGUGGCGAACGGGUGAGUAAUAUAUCGGAACGUGCCCAGUCGUGGGGAUAACGCAGCGAAAGCUGUGCUAAUACCGCAUACGAUCUAUGGAUGAAAGCGGGGGAUCGCAAGACCUCGCGCGAUUGGAGCGGCCGAUAUCAGAUUAGCUAGUUGGUGGGGUAAAGGCCCACCAAGGCGACGAUCUGUAGCUGGUCUGAGAGGACGACCAGCCACACUGGAACUGAGACACGGUCCAGACUCCUACGGAGGCAGCAGUGGGGAAUUUUGGACAAUGGGCGCAAGCCUGAUCCAGCAAUGCCGCGUGCAGGAUGAAGGCCUUCGGUGUAACGUGCUUUGUACGGUACGAAACGGCCUUCGUAAUACAAGGGCUAAGUGACGGUACCGUAACGAAGUAAGAC